RNAcentral lists this unclassified non-coding RNA (359 nucleotides) under Hevea brasiliensis (rubber tree). Lineage: Eukaryota; Viridiplantae; Streptophyta; Magnoliopsida; Malpighiales; Euphorbiaceae. The record is from RNAcentral.
CAAAGUUCAAGUUGUAUAGGCAAACAAGACAAGAAAGAGGAUUAAAGCCACAGGAUAAUGAAACGGCACAGAAUGGAGUGUAUACCGUCUCGACAUCAAUCCGGUCCAUUUUUUUCAAUUUCUGCAAGUGUCCAGUUACAGCAGGGUCAAAUACACUGCCGAUGAAAUUGUAUACUUGAGCAAAGUCUGGCAGAACUCUCAGUGAGGGUACUUGAGUCCUCUCCAUCACCUUAACUGUUGAUUUUGAUCUUGGAGUGCUUCCAUUACUACUGCAGCAACGGUUAUUGGUGAUUGGCUGACCUGUUUCUCUCACUUUGUCUUUCUUCAUUUGUGACAAACUAACUGGUGGCGCAGAGUUG